RNAcentral lists this ribosomal RNA (269 nucleotides) under uncultured prokaryote. Its description in RNAcentral is "partial 16S ribosomal RNA". It matches the Rfam family "Bacterial small subunit ribosomal RNA", at positions 524 to 792 of the family's 1533-position model. The record is from RNAcentral.
CACGUAUGGGGCGAGCGUUGUUCGGAAUUAUUGGGCGUAAAGGGCGUGUAGGCGGUUCUGUAAGCUUGGUGUUAAAACUGCAGGCUUAACCUGUAGGUGGCGCUGGGAACUGCAGGACUAGAGUUCAGGAGGGGGAGCUGGAAUUCCUGGUGUAGGGGUGAAAUCUGUAGAUAUCAGGAAGAACACCGGUGGCGAAGGCGAGCUCCUAGCCAUGGACUGACGCUGAGGCGCGAAAGCGUGGGGAGCGAACAGGAUUAGAUACCCCCGUA